CAGUCGCCGCGGGAAUACGUAGGGUGCAAGCGUUAAUCGGAAUUACUGGGCGUAAAGCGUGCGCAGGCGGUUUUGUAAGACAGAGGUGAAAUCCCCGGGCUCAACCUGGGAACUGCCUUUGUGACUGCAAGGCUGGAGUGCGGCAGAGGGGGAUGGAAUUCCGCGUGUAGCAGUGAAAUGCGUAGACAUGCGGAGGAACACCGAUGGCGAAGGCAAUCCCCUGGGCCUGCACUGACGCUCAUGCACGAAAGCGUGGGGAGCAAACAGGAUUAGAUACCCCCGUAGUCCCUGUCUCUUAUAC
This 301-nucleotide ribosomal RNA is filed under the name uncultured bacterium. Its description in RNAcentral is "partial 16S ribosomal RNA". It matches the Rfam family "Bacterial small subunit ribosomal RNA", at positions 509 to 807 of the family's 1533-position model. The record is from RNAcentral.